RNAcentral lists this ribosomal RNA (464 nucleotides) under uncultured bacterium. RNAcentral describes it as "bacterial SSU rRNA". It matches the Rfam family "Bacterial small subunit ribosomal RNA", at positions 30 to 490 of the family's 1533-position model. The record is from RNAcentral.
AUUGAACGCUGGCGGCAUGCCUUACACAUGCAAGUCGAACGGCAGCACGGGAGCAAUCCUGGUGGCGAGUGGCGAACGGGUGAGUAAUAUAUCGGAACGUGCCCAGUCGUGGGGAUAACGUAGCGAAAGCUACGCUAAUACCGCAUACGAUCUAUGGAUGAAAGCGGGGGAUCGCAAGACCUCGCGCGAUUGGAGCGGCCGAUAUCAGAUUAGGUAGUUGGUGAGGUAAAGGCUCACCAAGCCGACGAUCUGUAGCUGGUCUGAGAGGACGACCAGCCACACUGGGACUGAGACACGGCCCAGACUCCUACGGGAGGCAGCAGUGGGGAAUUUUGGACAAUGGGCGCAAGCCUGAUCCAGCAAUGCCGCGUGCAGGAUGAAGGCCCUCGGGUUGUAAACUGCUUUGUACGGAACGAAAGGUUUGUCUUAAUACGAUGAGCUCAUGACGGUACCGUAAGAAUAAG